This 450-nucleotide long non-coding RNA is filed under the name Carica papaya (papaya). RNAcentral's name for it is "long non-coding RNA (CPAP_LNC002667)". The record is from RNAcentral. Lineage: Eukaryota; Viridiplantae; Streptophyta; Magnoliopsida; Brassicales; Caricaceae.
UCUCCCCUCCGCGUCAAUCAAAAAAAUUGAGUGGUUCUCCGCCGGGGUGCGGGGGCGGAGGGAGAGAGAGAGAGAGAGAGCGAAAACUCAACAAGAUAAGUAGAGUUAUAUUCUUGCUUUUCUAAAAUUUCUGAUUUAAAAUAUUGAGAAAGUUUGAAAUCGUGUUUGCAAACUGUGGUGUUAACAGGUUAAGAAUCCAGAGAUGUAGAUUGGAUCUAUAAUGGAUGAUAUGCAGCAGAGCAACCAUUUCCAAACAAGACAUUGAAGAAGGAAGCUUCAAAAUAACAGAAGAUGAUGAAUAGGCAUCAAAUUUCUUCUGUCCUCCCAUCAUCUUCACCUAAACAAGCCCUAGGGAUUACACUUUUCCGUUCAGAAAUUUGUCGGUGUUGUUGGCCUGGUCAGAGGAGAAAAAAGAUGAACUGUGAUGAAAUGCAAAGAGGCAGUAAUGAG